RNAcentral lists this ribosomal RNA (111 nucleotides) under Triticum aestivum (bread wheat). Its description in RNAcentral is "partial small subunit ribosomal RNA". Lineage: Eukaryota; Viridiplantae; Streptophyta; Magnoliopsida; Poales; Poaceae. The record is from RNAcentral.
GUAACCGAAGCUUAUGCUAUUUUCAAUCCAAUCGUGGAUAUUAUGCCUGUUAUACCUCUAUUCUUUUUUCUAUUAGCCUUUGUUUGGCAAGCUGUUGUAAGUUUUCGAUGA